Sorghum bicolor (sorghum) is the source of this 882-nucleotide long non-coding RNA. RefSeq lists it as uncharacterized. The transcript is spliced from 2 exons. NCBI's taxonomy places the organism in Eukaryota, Viridiplantae, Streptophyta, Magnoliopsida, Poales, Poaceae. The record is from RefSeq and is a predicted model, not a curated record.
GAUUGUGCUAGCUAGGAGCUAGGCCCUUAUAAGAGUGCAUUGCAAAGAACUAGUCAUAUUACAAUGCAGCAUAUAGCCAUGUAGGAAAGGGAGGCAUUUGGAACCACAAUAUUUGAGCACACUCUGGUUCACUCUCUACCAAAAAUGUAUCCGGUGCUGGUAUGGGGAGUUGAUCUGUGCUUGCAGUGGUACAUAGGUCUAGUCUAGGGGCUCAAUGCAAGAUAUCCUGGGUAUCACAACCUCUAUGCUUGGAUCUGACCGUCGUUUCACCAUCCGAUUGUCAAGAACAUUAGAAAGCAAGAUAGCACACAGCGAGAGAUUGGUGAGGAAGGAGCGGAUACAUUCUGCGACAAUUAGAAUCAUCUUCUUCAAGGAGCAAAUGUGACACCGAUUCCCUAGCCACAAGGACGAUCUUCUAAGUCUGUAAUUUCAGUACAAAAUUGGGCCAAAAUUUAAUUGUGAUUCAACUUCCAAUUGAAUGGAAAUUUAACCUUUCUAGAUGGGGAACUAGGGAGAAGAGAAAAGCUCAAAUCAUAUAUUCACAGUGGAGGUUCUAGCUGGACGUCCACAGACUGGUGGGGAGCUGCAGGCUGCGGCGCUGCCAACGUGUCUGUGUGGGAAGAACGUACGCAUGCCGGAAGGGAUGCAUGAGGUUGUGGGGCUGUUUGCCCUCUGCCCAAGUAGGAAGACUGCCUGACUUACACCUCGAGUGUGGGGCUGCGGGUCUAAAUUAAGAGGGUGUAACUAGUGUUAUCAGGCCAUGUCCCUACUGGCCCUAGGCCUGGUUCCACCCCCGACUAGGUUCCAUUCUCCAUGUGCAUUCACUGCUGCUAUACAUGUAACUUUUAUGAGCGAAAAGUCUAAGCUGAUAGAUUACUAGAG